GCUCCGGUGGUGUAGUCCGGUUAAGCAUUUCGCCCUCUCAAGGCGGAGAUCCCGGGUUCAAAUCCCGGCCGGAGCA
Molecule: transfer RNA, 76 nt
Organism: Candidatus Nitrososphaera gargensis Ga9.2
Lineage: Archaea; Thermoproteati; Nitrososphaerota; Nitrososphaeria; Nitrososphaerales; Nitrososphaeraceae
Rfam family: tRNA
About the family: Transfer RNA (tRNA) molecules are approximately 80 nucleotides in length. Their secondary structure includes four short double-helical elements and three loops (D, anti-codon, and T loops).
Source: Rfam